This is a long non-coding RNA of Amblyraja radiata (thorny skate), 203 nucleotides long. RefSeq lists it as uncharacterized. The transcript has 3 exons. The record is from RefSeq and is a predicted model, not a curated record. Lineage: Eukaryota; Metazoa; Chordata; Chondrichthyes; Rajiformes; Rajidae.
UUCUACAGAGGUGGGUGCGUCUACAUUAGGAGCAUGACCUAGAGGACAGCUGUAAAUUAUAUUAACGAAGUCAUGAAGAUCUACGACAGCAGUCACAAAAUUGGCAGACCCUCAAUUGCCAACACAUUGAAAGAAAACCUCAAGUGAAUAUUAUUGGAUGUGACCAGUUGACUGGUAAGAUAUUAUUUUGUCACUAACUCUGC